UGGGGAAUUUUGGACAAUGGGCGCAAGCCUGAUCCAGCCAUGCCGCGUGGAUGAUGAAGGCCUUAGGGUUGUAAAAUCCUUUCGUUGGGGACGAUAAUGACGGUACCCAAAGAAGAAGCUCCGGCUAACUUCGUGCCAGCAGCCGCGGUAAUACGAAGGGGGCUAGCGUUGUUCGGAUUUACUGGGCGUAAAGCGCGUGUAGGCGGACUUGUAAGUUGGGGGUGAAAUCCCGAGGCUCAACCUCGGAACUGCCUCCAAAACUCAAAUCUGGACCUAAGUAGAGGCAAGUGGAAUUGCGAGUGUAGAGGUGAAAUUCGUAGAUAUUCGCAGGAACACCAGUGGCGAAGGCGACUUGCUGGACUUAUGGUGACGCUGAGACGCGAAAGCGUGGGGAGCAAACAGGAUUAGAUACCCGUGUAGUCCCUGAGCGGGCUGGCAAGGCGCAU
This 446-nucleotide ribosomal RNA is filed under the name uncultured bacterium. RNAcentral's name for it is "bacterial SSU rRNA". It matches the Rfam family "Bacterial small subunit ribosomal RNA", at positions 355 to 825 of the family's 1533-position model. The record is from RNAcentral.